Molecule: long non-coding RNA, 1896 nt
Filed under: Homo sapiens (human)
Lineage: Eukaryota; Metazoa; Chordata; Mammalia; Primates; Hominidae
Description: non-protein coding LINC00656:2
Source: RNAcentral
CACUAAGGCGCAAGGCAGCUGCACAUCCACGGCCAGCCUCGUUGUCUUCAGGGAUUUGUUCAAAGUUCAUUCUGAAUUGUAAGGUAACCACUGCAGAACACGAGCCUUUCCUGGGUAUGUGUGGUUAUUUCUGCCCUUCACGGUCCCACUCAAGUCCUGCCUCCCUCAGGGAGACCUCCCAGACCUCACCAAGCCGUGGGCACGUGGACCAGAAGCCGUGGACCCCAGAGGCUCAUUUAGGGAUCUGCUUUCUGAACCCAGGUCCUAACAUCUGCACUGCAGCGAGCAUUUCUGGUGCCUCAAGUGAGUCACUCCAACUUCCAGCUCACUGAGAGGCGAUGGAGCACUGAGUGCCAGCAUCUUCCAGCACCAGAGGAGCUGACUCUGAAUAGACAGCUCGGCAGCGGCCUCAGCACAGAGCAGGGGAGCCACCAGCCACAGGCAGCCACUGAGCCCUUGGCAUGUAACCCGGUAACCCAUGCAACAGAAGACCUGAGCGUCCAGUGUUGCUAGCUUGAAGUAACUUCAGUGGUGUUCCCCAGCGUUUUUCUCAUCCCCCUCCCUUCCCUUCCCCUACAGCUUUCUUCCUCUUUCCCCUCCUUCUGAGUCUUUCGUCCCCAGUCCUGGGAACCUUUUUUCUGACUUGGUGUUUUCUCCUGAAUGCCUCCUUCCUGGCCCCCUAAUCAGAAAUGCAGAAGCCACCUGCCCCACACAGGGGGCCACUUUCCCUGCAUCUGGCACUCACCAGGACAGUCAUAGAACUGGCCUUGGGUGCUUGGGGAGAGUGGAGAGGUCUGGGGGGCAUCCACUGGCCUCAGCCUCAGAGCUUCUCAUCAGUAACCCAGGAGGCAAAGGCCCAGCUCAAGAUUAGCCCAGGCCACUGUAUCUGUGCCAAGACCUACAGCUGUCCCUGCAGGGCGUGCAUCUCUGCAGCCCAGGCUAUCACAAUGGUGUCCCUUUUGGUGGGGAUGUGAGGCCUGCUGCUGCCUGGGAAGAAGCUGACAGGAUUGUUGGUGCUGUGGGGAGAAGCUGGUGUAACUGAGACCCAUGAGGGAGGCCCUUUGUGGGUCUGUGGCUGGGAGGAGCUCUGGGGAAGAUGGGCCUUGAGAAAUCCCAGCUUAGCACCUUUGACAGUUGCUCCACUGAGUCACCCUAGACUGCAAUCUCACAGAUGUUCUAACCACCCUCUCCCUGGGGAGCCCUUGGGGGUGCUGCAAGCCCAGUCCUCACUCACUGGCUUUGUGCUUCUCUUCCCGACUUCCUUUUUUUGCUCCUGUUGAGAAAUGUGGGUCCAGGGCUGCGUGCUCCAGUGUGCGGAAGGAAGGGCAGCGUGCUCUUUGGACUGAGCUGGCUCAAGGGAAGCUGGGUCUGAGGGGAGACUGACCUCGACCCUUCUUAAAUGAAACACCUUUUCCCUGCGUCUCAGUCACCGUUACCUGGCCUGAUCACUGUGUGCCACACCCCAUCACAUCCAUCCCCACAAGAAUGCCAGGAGGAGGGGUCAUUGGCCUUUUUGUCAGCACAAACCUCUGGAGGCCCAGCUCCCAAGACCCGCCAGGCACACCUGCCAGAGUGCCUUAACUUGGGAUGUCUGCAAACCUCUGUCCAUGGCCGAACCCACCCCACUGCCUGUUACUGUAAAUAAAGGUCUAUUAGCAUGCCACCAUGCCCCUCCUCCGAUGCAUACAGUGCCCAGCUCAGCACCUGGUGCAAGUAAGCACAAUCUGGCUUCCAGCCAUCACUGCUGUUGCUACUAACACAAAUAUUAGGCCCCUUCUAGAAUGCAAAGAUAACCCAGGGCUGCUCGUUCUGUGUCCAGAUCACAGAGUUUUUCUUUUUAUCCUUAUCAACUUUAUUGAGGGAUAAUUUACAGGCAAUAAAUCAUAUCCAUUUAAA